This 300-nucleotide ribosomal RNA is filed under the name uncultured Gammaproteobacteria bacterium. Its description in RNAcentral is "bacterial SSU rRNA". It matches the Rfam family "Bacterial small subunit ribosomal RNA", at positions 114 to 415 of the family's 1533-position model. The record is from RNAcentral. Lineage: Bacteria; Pseudomonadati; Pseudomonadota; Gammaproteobacteria.
UGCUUGGGAAUAUGCCUUUGAGUGGGGGACAACAGUUGGAAACGACUGCUAAUACCGCAUAAUAUUUACGGAUCAAAGGUGGCCUCUCCUUGGAAGCUAUCGCAAUAGGAUGAACCCAAGUGGGAUUAGCUAGUUGGUGAGGUAAUGGCCUACCAAGGCGACGAUCCGUAGCUGGUCUGAGAGGAUGAUCAGCCACACUGGGACUGAGACACGGCCCAGACUCCUACGGGAGGCAGCAGUGGGGAAUAUUGGACAAUGGGCGCAAGCCUGAUCCAGCAAUACCUCGUGUGUGAAGAAGGC